CCUACGGGAGGCAGCAGUGGGGAAUAUUGGGCAAUGGGCGCAAGCCUGACCCAGCAACGCCGCGUGAAGGAAGAAGGCUUUCGGGUUGUAAACUUCUUUUAAGAGGGAAGAGCAGAAGACGGUACCUUUUGAAUAAGCCACGGCUAACUACGUGCCAGCAGCCGCGGUAAUACGUAGGUGGCAAGCGUUGUCCGGAUUUACUGGGUGGAAAGGGCGUGCAGCCGGGAAGGCAAGUCAGAUGUGAAAUCCCGCGGCUCAACCGCGGAACUGCAUUUGAAACUGUUUUUCUUGAGUACCGGAGAGGUAAGCGGAAUGCCUAGUGUAGCGGUGAAAUGCGUAGAUAUUAGGAAGAACACCAGUGGCGAAGGCGGAUGACUGGACGGCAACUGACGGUGAGGCGCGAAAGCGUGGGGAGCAAACAGGAUUAGAUACCCUAGUAGUC
RNAcentral lists this ribosomal RNA (442 nucleotides) under uncultured bacterium. Its description in RNAcentral is "partial 16S ribosomal RNA". It matches the Rfam family "Bacterial small subunit ribosomal RNA", at positions 338 to 795 of the family's 1533-position model. The record is from RNAcentral.